Molecule: long non-coding RNA, 2420 nt
Organism: Dendrobium catenatum
Lineage: Eukaryota; Viridiplantae; Streptophyta; Magnoliopsida; Asparagales; Orchidaceae
Exons: 2
Source: RefSeq, a predicted model, not a curated record
AUAUAUAAAGUAAAUAAAAGCUUUUCAUGGUGAGAAAACUUUGUGAUAGCUAUCUUCCUCACAGCAUAAUUCAUCAAGGUUCUAAAUAAUUCCACCAUAGAGUGGAAGUGUUUAAGCAUACUACAUGUGGAAAUCCAUUAACAAAGCUUGCAUGGCCUAGCUUAUAUAUUUUAAUCGUACUUUAAAGUAGCUUGUAUGUGUGGCAUUAACCAUUGCAAGGGAUUUUAUUAAUUUAAUUUUUUGCUUGUAUUUAAUAUUUAAUAUUUAAUUUGCUUUUCUCAAAAUGUAGCAGAUAGAAUUUGCGUGUAUGUAAUUUUCACUUCAAUUAAUUGAAAUAAAGACGAUAUCUAGUUCCAUUUAUUUUUAAACUAGCUUGGAGAGAGAGAGAUAUAUAUAUAUAUAUAGUUAGCUUGACUCCCCAUUUUGAACAACCCCACCCCUCCGUUUGAUUAACCAAGAGAAGCAUUAAAGGCAUUCCAAUCCAAUCAGACACUUAAUUUGCUAAACUAUCACUGAGCAUAUACUAUUCUUUUCAUAAUCAAACUAAAUAUGUACAUAUGUAGGCAGUUGAAUAGCCCUCCAAGAUCUUGUUAUGUUCCUUUGAACCUUAUGUAAUUGAAAAGAUACCAAGUCUUCAUUAAUAAAGUUAGUUAGCCCAUGUAAAUCCAGUAGGAACAAGCUUUGAAUAUGAGAGCCAAAUUUACAUGCCUGCUAUAAAAAAGGAUAAGGAAUAAUAACACUACGACCAAGUAUAAGAAUAUUCUUAUAUUUAUCUAAGAACUAAUACAGCUUAGAUUUCAAAUUUAUUUGUCUUGGGUCAUAAUUUAUCAAAUAACAUAAUGACAAGUCCAAAUAAACAAAUCAAAAUUUCAUGUUAUUUUGUUUAAUUUUCAAGUGCAUAAAAGAAGAGAAUUAGCUUUUCAAACUUUAUAAGCAUGCAUACAAACUAGCACUCAAGUUCCAAUGAGUUUGGGGAAGAAAACAAUGUAUGAAAUUUUUUCUUCAAGAAAAGUAACUUGUCAAUUAAUACAAUAUGUAAUUGAAAAAAUAUAUACUUAGAGAUUACAUACAAACAACAAAUAAAGUUAAGAUAAAUAAUUGUAGAGAUCAGACAAUGCUAUAUUUAUAGCCAUACUAAUAAUAGAGCCCACAUUCGCACUAAAUCAUCAAGGAUUAUUAUUCAUUUUAUCCUAAAAAAUCUAGAACAUUCACUUUAUACAAUAGGUUUGUAUAAAAGAAGUAAAGAAAUCAGCAAUGUUGGUUGACUUCAUAGUCCAUAAGAAGGCUUUCACACCAAUUCAAGUCAUCCGAGUUGCUCCACACAAGUGAGUUUGAAGGCAGCAGUGAAGUCAGCAGAGCAUCAGCAGUAAGCAGAGGAGAAAAAGAUUGGAAAAACAAAGAAGGUUAUUCAGGAGUAAGAGAUGGGGAAACAUGUUUAGGUUGUUCGCGAGGAGGAAGAGAUUGUGCAAAUGGAGUAGGCUACUGAAGAUGGAGAAGAUCUUGUUGUAAUGGAAUACUGAAAUCAACAGAAAGCUGAGGAGAAAUAUAGUGGAAAAAUGGAGAAGGUAGUUGAUGCGGGUGAAGAUACUGCGGCUGUUGCGAAGGCAUGAAAAUCGCUUGUUGCGCCUGAAGCCAUCCCAGUUCCUCUGUACUUUGGCAUUGGAGGAAAUCUAUCCUCUCCUGCAACUCUAUUAAUUUGAUUUUGAUGGCUACUUUCUCUUCAAGGAAUGUCAGCAAAGGAAAGGAAGGAGAAGGCAUCGAUUGGCAUGGAAUUUGUUGUUCGGGCGUUGAGUUCUGAAGAAAAGGAAGCAACUAGUACGUCCACGCUGCAGAGGAGCGAGAGCUUGCCGACCUUCUGCUGCAUUUUGCUAGAUUGUGUAAUCGUGCUCUUUUGUUGGUAGGAUAUUUGGGUAAUCUAUUUGCUUCUUUUUGGGUUUUCUGCUGCCUCAUUUUGUUUGGGUGUGCGUUGUGACUGGUGGUUGGUGAGUUGGGUGCCUAUGUUUCGGCUUGGUCAUUGGGUUGUUUGGUGUGGUUUGAGUGUUUGGGUGAGCAAAUUUCUUUGUUCUUUUGGUUUCUGGUGUGUGUUAGGGUGGAGCCUUUGUUGUGCUGCCUCUCUUUGGGAGAAUUAUUGUUUCCCCUGUUGGGCUGGCUGGUUUGGUUUAGUAGGCUGGCUGUUUUGGUGAGUGGUUUGGUCCUCAACCAUGUGUUAUUCUUCUUUAUUAGAUCUCAAAUUUGGUUUUGUUAAGAGUUUUCCUUUUGGGUUUUCGUUCCCUUUGUGUCUUUUCUAUGUCGGGUUUUGGUUUGAGAUCUCUCUAUUUGCUGAGGGACAAUGAAUUUUCUGGAUCUUAUUCUGUUGCUAUAUAUUGUGGAGCAUGUUUGCAGCUAUGGUUAUCGGUGGCAUCAAUGAGAUUUUUUGGCUA